GACGAACGCUGGCGGUGUGCUUAACACAUGCAAGUCGAGCGGUAAGGCCCUUUCGGGGGUACACGAGUGGCGAACGGGUGAGUAACACGUGAGUAACCUGCCCUCAUCUCUGGGAUAACAGUCGGAAACGGUUGCUAAUACUGGAUAUGAGCUUGCAAGGCAUCUUGUGGGUUGGAAAGAUUUUUUUGGUUGGGGAUGGACUCGCGGCCUAUCAGCUUGUUGGUGAGGUAGUGGCUCACCAAGGCUUCGACGGGUAGCCGGCCUGAGAGGGCGACCGGCCACAUUGGGACUGAGAUACGGCCCAAACUCCUACGGGAGGCAGCAGUGGGGAAUAUUGCACAAUGGACGGAAGUCUGAUGCAGCAACGCCGCGUGCGGGAUGACGGCCUUCGGGUUGUAAACCGCUUUCAAUUGUGACGAAGCUUUUUGUGACGGUAGCAGUAGAAGAAGCACCGGCUAACUACGUG
This 466-nucleotide ribosomal RNA is filed under the name uncultured bacterium. Its description in RNAcentral is "partial 16S ribosomal RNA". It matches the Rfam family "Bacterial small subunit ribosomal RNA", at positions 28 to 507 of the family's 1533-position model. The record is from RNAcentral.